CACCGAGGACUUCAUAUGGAUGUGUACUUCGGAGCAUCUCAAACAUGCACCACAAAGACGUGGAGGACACACCGCUGUCUCUCAGGACCUAGAAUCUUAAUGAAAGUAUAAUGAUGUUAAGGGAAGGUGUAAUGGAAAGGUGUAAUGGAAAGUUGUAAUGGUGUUAAGGGAAGGUGUAGUGGAAAGGUGUGAUAGUGUUGAGGGAAGGUGUAAUAGUGUUGAGGGAAUGUGUAAUAGUGUUGAGGGAAGGGGUAAUGUUAAAGGUGUAAUAGUGUUAAGGGAAGGUAUAAUAUUGUUAAGGGAAGGUGUAAUGUUAAAGGUGUAAUAGUGUUGAUGGAAGGUAUAAUGUAAAGGUGUAAUAGUUUAAAGGGAAGGUAUAAUAUUGUUAAGGGAAGGUGUAAUGUUAAAGGUGUAAUAGUGUUGAGGGAAGGUAUAAUAUUGUUAUGGGAAGGUGUAAUGUAAAGCUGUAAUAGUUUUAAGGGAAGGUAAAUGUUUAGUGAAAUUGUUAUGGUGUGAAUCUAAGGUGUAUGUUAUGUUGAUGUAAAAUAAAGGCAUUAACCCCAAA
This is a long non-coding RNA of Astyanax mexicanus (Mexican tetra), 565 nucleotides long. RefSeq lists it as uncharacterized. The record is from RefSeq and is a predicted model, not a curated record. The transcript is spliced from 2 exons. Lineage: Eukaryota; Metazoa; Chordata; Actinopteri; Characiformes; Acestrorhamphidae.